Molecule: long non-coding RNA, 156 nt
Organism: Mycetomoellerius zeteki
Lineage: Eukaryota; Metazoa; Arthropoda; Insecta; Hymenoptera; Formicidae
Exons: 3
Source: RefSeq, a predicted model, not a curated record
UAAUCAAACGAACGCGACGAGUGUAACGAUCAGCUCUUGUUAGUAUAAUAUUCUUGCUGUCAAGGUGAAAAAUAAUAGCAAUUUUAGACUUGGAAAAUUAGAGGUAAUCGCGUAUAGACUUUCCGAAAUUUCACAUUAUUUAUGUAUGCGACAAAC